Molecule: ribosomal RNA, 381 nt
Filed under: uncultured eukaryote
Lineage: Eukaryota
Description: partial 18S ribosomal RNA
Rfam family: Eukaryotic small subunit ribosomal RNA
Source: RNAcentral
CAAUAGCGUAUAUUAAAGUUGUUGCGGUAAAAAAGCUCGUAGUUGGAUUUCUACCGAAGAUAGCCGGUCGGGUCUUCGACCUUGUAUCUGGUUUUGUCUUUGAUAUCCUCAUAGGGAACGUUUCUGCGCUUUAUUGCGUGGUGCGGUAUCUAUGACUUUUACUUUGAGGAAAUUAGAGUGUUCACGGCAGGCAAACGCCUUGAAUAUAUUAGCAUGGAAUAAUAACAUAGGAUCUUCGUCCUAUUUUGUUGGUUUCUAGGGCUAAGAUAAUGAUUAAUAGGGAUAAUUGGGGGCAUCUGUAUCAACGCGUCAGAGGUGGAAUUCUUGGAUUGCGUUGCGACAAACUACUGCGAAAGCAUUUGCCAAGGAUGUUUUCAUUGA